GACAGGGCGUUGAAAGCACCGCGGAACUUGAAGGCGCCCAUGCGCUGCAGGUUCUCGCACUUCAGGAAGACGCGGGCGCCCAGCGCCUCGUCCAGCGUGCGCGAGGUGAGCACGGGCGUGCGGUGGGCAUGGCCCUGGAUGCGUUGGGCCGCUGCGGCCACGUCGUCAUAGGUGGGAAGGCUUGUCAUCGGUACGGGAGAGAAGGGGUUGCAGAUCGGCGGGGUGCCGGGAGCUACUUGGCGUAGCUGUAGACCGUGGCGCGCGACACGCCCAGGUGGGCGGCAAUGGUCUCCAUGGAGCGGCGAAGGUCCAGCAGGCCGUCGCCCUUGAGUUCAC
RNAcentral lists this non-coding RNA (336 nucleotides) under Delftia tsuruhatensis. Lineage: Bacteria; Pseudomonadati; Pseudomonadota; Betaproteobacteria; Burkholderiales; Comamonadaceae. The record is from RNAcentral.